GGAAUACUUUCUGUUCUCUCUGUCUCUAGCUCUCUCGCUGCCGCUCUCUAUCUCUCGAUCGCUCUCUAGCUCUCUCUCUCACUCUCGCUCUAUCUCUCGCUCACUCUCUAUCUCUCGCUCUCUCGUUCUCUCGUUCUAUCUCUAUCUCUUUCUUUCUCUCUUGAUCUGGCUCUUGUUCACUCGCUCUCUCUCUCCCUCUCUUCUCUGUUAGUAAGUCACUCCCCUGUCUCUCUCCCGUGAAUCUCUCCCUUGUCUCUCUCCCCUGUCUCUCUGUCCUGUCUGUCUCUCCGUCUGUCUGUCUCCACAUGUUUAAGAUGAGUUAAGAGGUUAAGUGUUUGGUGUAUUUAUGUCCAAGCUGAAGCUCUGGGGGCAAAGCGGUGCAUGGUGGGAAACCAGAGCUGCCAAAGUGUCUCUCGCUGCACCCGGGCGGGAUGAGAUCCAGCAGAUAAUUGUGAACAGUUGUGUUUUCAUCGCUUCAAGAUGAGUCUGCGGUGGCUUUCGCAUUCUUCCUCCAACACCGUUGAGAUUCUCCCCAGCCUUAAUUCAUUCAUAAUUUAUUCCCUCUCCCGCUGGUGUGUGUGUGUGUGUGUGUGUGUGUGUGUGUGUGUGUGUGUGUGUGUGUGCGUGUGUGUGACUUAAUUUGUUGUGUGUUUGCACGCUUGUGUGAAUACUCGACGAUAUGAAGAAUUGUGUCUGUGUGUGACUUGGUUUGUUGUGUGUUUGAACGCUGGUAUGAAUACAUGACGAUAUGAAGAACACUUGAUUUCCCAGAGAAGCUGGUGUCAUUUCUAAAAUCAAGCUUCCUCCAGGUCGUUCAUGCCUGACUCCUAUUCUUCAGUUGGGGCCGGUGUGUUGGGUGCCGUUGGGGUGGGUUCCUGCUCUGUGUUCCGCUGUCAGGUCGGCCUCCUUCUCUGGAACAACGUUCUGGUCGCCAGGGCUGUGUGGGCGGCUCAGGGUUCCUUUUAGGAGACGCUUACAGCUGAAUAACCCCUCGGAACAUGGCUAACCCGAACCCUUACCAUAACUUAAGCUUCUCUUUAACCGCUAAAUUAAACCUGAAACUAAACCAUUUACAACUGGAGGCCGAAUCAAAAGGGUAAACGUUUCUAAUGCAUCAUGGAAAAUUAGCUGCCUCACCUCAUUCGUCUCUCUCUUGCUCUCUCUCUCUUUCUCUUUCUCUCUCACUCUCUCUUUGUGUCUCUUUCUCUCUCUCUCUGUCUCUCCCACUCUCUCUUUUUGUGUCUCUCUCUCUCUCUGUGCGUGGGCGGUUCUGAGGCCUUGGUUACCCCCCCCCCCAACGCCCAGCCAAACACAAGCUAACAAAUAGCAGCAGCUCCCCCAACUUUAUUAGUUUGGUGAGGAACACGGACACUGGGGGCUUUGCUUGGCCGUCCAAUCGAAGAGAUGCAGACGUCUGCCAGGAAAUACUGGGAACAGACAAUCUUUCUCCUUUCAGUUCUUUUCUUUUAAAGCAGUUCUGUCCUCGGUGUGUUGAGACGUCUAACCUCCACAAACGCUGUGGCUUGUUUUCACAGUAACGCUUGGUUUUAUUACCAAACUGUAGCGGCCGAAACAUUAAAAAACACCUGAAACACAAUCUUCUCCGACAGCAGUCGAGUUGAGCUCCUGAGUCCUCAGGAACAUAUACCUGCCGCAGAACAGGAAGGAAGCUUCCUGUCCUCAGCCUCCAACAACAGGAAGUCAAUAAAGCCCACGCAGACAGCCAUCUUAUAGGCUCUUAUUGUUUGUUAUUGUCGGAUUUGAAAAGCAGGUGUCGGCUGAUAUAUUGGGGCAUAAGCGAGAUUGGAUCAGAGUAAAAGCAUCUCCAUAGAAACGGAGAGCAGAGGAGAAUGUUAUUUCGUUCCCCUGAGAACCGUUUUUAAUCUUAAUCUUAUCGCAGCAGCAGCCGUUGAGUGGCGACCAGCAGAAGGUCCCAGAACUGGUUUGAGCCGGUCUGUGUCGUCUUUGUUACUUUAAUCAGUACUGACCCUUUCUCCCGCUAUUCAGAACAAUCUGGAAAUACUUUCCACUCCUUAAUCCCCGCCUCUUAUUGUUCAUAUCUCGGAGAGCCUGAUUAAAACCCGGACACUGUGGGGAACCCAGGGUUCUGCUGCCCUGAACUCACGUUUAACACUGGUUACCUCAGCGCCGCGGAGCUAGCACAUUCUAGCCGAGAUGCUAACGGUAGCAUUAGCUAGGCGUGUCUCUCUUCCGUUCCUACAGCAUAUGCCAACGAUAGCAAUAACUCGGCGUGGCUCUCUACCGUUCCUACGGGAGAUGCUAGCGGUAGCAUUACCUCGGCGUGGAUCUCUACCGUUCCUACAGGAGAUGCUGACGGUAGCAUUAGCUAGGCGUGUCUCUACCGUUCCUAGAGGGGAUGCUAACGGUAGCAUUAGCUCAGCGGUGUCUCGCUACCGUUCCACACAGUCUGGAGGUGAGGUAGACUCUGGAGGUGAGGUAGAGUCUAGAGGUGAGGUAGAGUCUGGAGGUGAGGUAGAGUCUGGAGGUGAGGUAGAGUCUGGAGGUGAGGUAGAGUCUGGAGGUGAGGUAGAGUUGGAGGGGAGGUAGAGUUUGAGGUGAGGUAGAGUUGGAGGUGAGGUACAGUAGGUAAAGUUGAUAUGUGUUUUGUCGGGUUGCCACUGCCAGAUUGGGGAAACCCCCCUUCGGAUGCUGGUUGUCUUUUGGUUCUGCCAAGCACAUUAUUAUCUGAGGGUUAAUCUCACUGCUCUCCAGAGUUUCCCCACAAUUACAGCCGAGGAAUCGACCAAAAGAACACACUUAACUCUUGUUGAGCUGUUGACGUUCUGGAGAUGGUCUCUGAAACCUAAUGAAUUUAUCCUAAGCCCCGCUCCUCCUGACAACAUGUCUGCCUAAUCUUGAUGACCAUUUACUGAUGAACAGGAAGUGCGUUAUUAGGUAGCAUUACCAUCAUUAGAAGUCAGCUACAUCCACAUCGUUUCCUUCUAUGUGGUCUUCUGUGAUUGUGAUUGGUCCAGUGGGGCAACAAAUUAAAUCAUAGAGGAGGCAGGGCCUCAGUUAACUGGAAAAUAUUCUGUUCCUGCAAAGGUUGGGGUUGAUUAUAAUCACAUUAUUAAAAUAUUAGUAUGCAUUCUUUGCUUAUAUUGAGAUUAGGGUUAGCCUUAGCUAACUCACAAUCAAUGUAAUAACAAACAAAUCUAUUAGCCGUCUCAUUUCUGUUAGCAUGUUUCUCCUUUCCAACCGAAACGCCACAAGCCCCGCGUCCUCUGUGAUUCUAUUGGACAGUUCACUGGUCCAAUCGUGUGUCUGGUGAACACACGAUUGGACCUGACUUACCUUAGAGUGAGUAAGUCAGUGUUUGUGUCGGCCUAUAAGAGCCAGCGACCCAAAAAUGCGUCGGCUGUCCGUGUGUUCGGAGUGAGAGGCAGUGUUGAAUGCUGGGUAUUCUCUGAGGGCUGCACUGUGAUUGGGCGGCUUCACAGAGAAGCAGAGCCAGCGUUAUUAAAUCUCCUCCAUUACUGCUGAUCUCCACCGAGGGACCGGCAGUCCUCAGAGAGGCUGCUCUCAUAAACACACACACACACACACACACACACACACACACACACACACACGCACACACACACACACACUAGGCUAGACACACAUACACACACACUAGGCCAGACACACAUACACACACACUAGGCCAGACACACAUACACACACACUAGGCCAGACACGCAUGCACUAGGCCAGACACACAUACAAACACAGUACCUUCUAGUGUUGUCUUGAGGUUUUUAUGUGUUUGGCCCAGUUGGAGAUAAAUGAUGAUCUUCUCGUUGUCCGGCUCGUUCAUCCGGUUGUAAAUUCGGCAGCGGAGGAAAGUUACAAUGUUGUAACUUUAGAUGAGUCUGUGUCUGUUACUGCUCCCAGGACCCCCCUCUUCUCCUUGUGUUACCUCCCUGCUCUGCUCACUCACAGGAGCUACGGCGGACACGCUCGGCGCUAACACACUAGCCGAGCGCUAACACACUAGCCCAGCGCUAACACCCCUCACCACGACACACACACACCACCGUACGCCGGACAUGCUAGCCCUGCGCUAACAAGCUAGCCCUGCGCUAACACGCCUCACCAAAGACACAUACACACAACUUUACAACAUGCUAGCCCUGCGCUAACAAACUAGACCUGCGCUAACUGCCUCAACACCUACACACACGCACCACUUUACAACACGCUAGCCCUUCGCUAAUAGCGCCGCGCUAGAUGCAUUAUCUGCAGCUAGCGUGGAUGUUCUCACCGCCUGCUAGGAGGACAUCAGACCGUCCCACUGGGCGGUCUGUGUGUGUGUUUGAGAGAGAGAGGGGGAGUGUGUGUGUGUGUUUGUGUGUGUGAGGGGGGGGGGGGAGUGUGUGUGUGUGUGUGUUAGUGGGUUUGUGUUGCUGUAUAGUUGUGUGUGUUUGUGUCUGAGAGAGACUGGGUCUGUGUGUGUGUGUGUGUGUGUGUGUGUGUGUGUGUGUGUGUGUGUGUGUGUGUGUGUGUGUGUGUGUGUGUGUGUGUGUGUGUGUGUGUGUGUGUGUGUGUGUGUGUGUGUGUAAAUUUGUGUUCUGAUGCAUGUGUGUGGCAGAGAGGGUGUUUGUGUGAGUAUAUCAGAGUUUGUUGAUGCAAAUGUAUAUAUGAGAGAGUGUGUUUGGAUGUGUGUGUGUAUCAGAGAGUGUUUUGGUGUUUGUGUGUGUGUGUGUGUCAGAGAGAGGGUUUUGAUAUUUGUGUGUGUGUUCGUGUAUAUCAGAGAAAUUGUGUGUGUGCAUCAGAGAGUGUUUUGAUGUUUGUGUGCGUGUGUGUUUGUGUACAUCAGAGUAUGUGUGUCUCUAAUGGGUUGCGGGUGGCUGUGGGAACAGGAGGGUAUCCUCUGUGUUCUACUGACCCUGAAAGCUGGCUGGCCUACAUUCUGCGUCACGCCACUUUGCAGCCAGACCGGCCCCUCCGGACCUCCGUGUGGGUGUGGUUUGUGUGUGUCUGUGUGUCUGUCUGUCCGUGUGUGUGCGUCUCCUAGUGUGUUUGUGUGCCUGCGUUUGCCUGCGUGUGUGUGUUGAUGUUUUGUGCUGUCCUGACCAGGGUUUAAUUUGUGUCCACGACGGGGAAUUAAAGUUCUGCAACUAUGAAGUCCUUAUAAGGACUUCCUGUCUGUUCCUGUGGGCUGUGGCCACGCCCACUUCAAUCCCAGUCUAUAAAGUGCUCCCUAAACUUAGUGCCCGCCCGGUUAAUGAGGCACCACCUCAUUGGCCGGUUUAAUGAGCUGUCUACUAGAUAACUUCACAUCUAAUUUGAACUGUGAUGUGAGGGAAACAUCUGAGGUCAAGCGCCAACAUCCACGCAGUGUUGUAUAGUAGCGAAGUAGAAAUACUUUGUUACUGUACUUAAGUAGUUUUUUUGGAUAUUUGUACUUUACUUUACUACUUAUAUUUCUCUGUACUUUUACUUUUACUUCGCUACAUUUUGCGAAGAAAACGGAUACUUUUACUCCGCUACAUUUCCCUUGAAACCUUCGUUACUCGUUACAAAAUCAACUCAUCUUUAGAAAAAAAAAAAUGAAUCAUGAGAGAUAUGAGAAUAACGUCGGGGACUGUGGUAGAACACAGACUGCGAGCCUGUUUGGCGAA
Long non-coding RNA from Gadus macrocephalus (Pacific cod), 5627 nucleotides. RefSeq lists it as uncharacterized. The record is from RefSeq and is a predicted model, not a curated record. The transcript has 4 exons. Lineage: Eukaryota; Metazoa; Chordata; Actinopteri; Gadiformes; Gadidae.